Molecule: ribosomal RNA, 253 nt
Filed under: uncultured bacterium
Lineage: Bacteria
Description: partial 16S ribosomal RNA
Rfam family: Bacterial small subunit ribosomal RNA
Source: RNAcentral
UACGUAGGGGGCAAGCGUUGUCCGGAUUUACUGGGCGUAAAGGGCGCGCAGGCGGUCGUUCAAGUCGCGUGUGAAAGCCCCCGGCUCAACUGGGGAGGGUCACGCGAUACUGAUCGACUGGAAGGCAGGAGAGGGUAGUGGAAUUCCCGGUGUAGUGGUGAAAUGCGUAGAUAUCGGGAGGAACACCAGUGGCGAAGGCGACUACCUGGCCUGUUCUUGACGCUGAGGCGCGAAAGCUAGGGGAGCAAACGGG